GGCUCAGUUUCUGGUUUUGUUGCGGUAAGCUAAGCAUUCUUAUUGUAAAUAGAUUUAGAAAAUGCAUUUUUUGUGGACUUACAUUUAUGAUAUGCAGUGAUGCUAGCACAUAUUCUUUUAUUGAAAAACUUCUGAUUUUGUGAUAUUCCUCCUUCCCUGAAGUAUCUUCCAUCAAUUAAUGUUCCUUGUUUGAUUGCAAAUAGUAAACUCGACAUUCUCUGUGUUUUUGAUUCACUGUGCAGAAAUAUCAGCCGUAUGCCUCAGA
This 265-nucleotide unclassified non-coding RNA is filed under the name Hevea brasiliensis (rubber tree). The record is from RNAcentral. Lineage: Eukaryota; Viridiplantae; Streptophyta; Magnoliopsida; Malpighiales; Euphorbiaceae.